RNAcentral lists this long non-coding RNA (3822 nucleotides) under Carassius auratus (goldfish). RNAcentral describes it as "lncRNA (ENSCARG00000043150.1)". The record is from RNAcentral. Lineage: Eukaryota; Metazoa; Chordata; Actinopteri; Cypriniformes; Cyprinidae.
GGAGCUACAGCUGAGGCUGAAGAGGUGGAUAGACUGGAAGAGAUUGCAGGUUGUUCACAUCCUGAGAAUCCAGAGCAUACAGAGCUGCAGUCCCUGUCUGAGCCUGUAACCAUGGAGACAAGUGAAAAGUCCGGCACAGCAAACAUAAUUGACUGUGAAAUGGAAGUCCUGGAGACUGAGUUACCGGAUAGCAAGGACACAGGAAACAAAGAUGAACAUAGACCAAGGCUGAUGAUCUGGAAGAAGUUUGCAGUCCGAAAGAGGCGCUUGUCUUGGAGGACACUCGAGAAGAACUUUAUCGUAAUGAGUCAAUUACUUCUUCAAUGUCCGACACUCCGUCAAGUGCUGAGAGCGUGUAUGAGAAUGAAGCCAUGCAUAAGAGGCAGGAUUCACUAAGACAGGAACCAUUGGAGAACAUUGCACCCCAACCAGAUGUUGAUGAUGGAGAUCUGUUAGACUCAUUGGGUAUAGACUUACAAGAAGCCAUAUUAGAAAGUUUUGGAUGUGAGGAUCCAGAAGAAACCAUCCUUGCGCACUACAUCCGAGAGGAUGUUCUGUCAGAUGUCUCCACAGAGUCUUGCCGUGACCCAGAUGAAUUAGAAGAGUGUCUUCAGGUCGAAAUUGCUGCGCCGUCAUCAGACAGUGAAACGGAGACAGAGAAAUGGAGGAGCAUCUUUUCUUCCUCAAUAAAUAAGGAAGAUGAUGAUGACUACAUUGACAGCCUUGAGCUUAGUGCACAAGAGCUCUUUAUUCAAAAACCUGCACUAGAGAAUUCUGAGGACGUUUUAAAGGAAUCUGAAGAGCUGGAGGUUCCGGUGGGAGAAGUAGUGCUAGAACAACCAGAGAAUGAGACAGUUUUACAACCGCAAGAAAUCUCUUACGGUCCUUCCACACUGUUUCACGGCUUGUCCAAGAUUUCCGAAGACGAUGAGGAGCUUGGACGAGGCUCAGCAACCCACAAGAGCAAUUCAUUUGAUUCUGUCAAAUCCGAUUCCAGCAAAAAGGUGCCGAAAGAUUAUUGUGUGAUUCAGGAAAUGAAAAGCGAGAACGUCAGCACAGAACAUGUGGAUUUCAAAGUUGCUCGCCAACAGUGGCUAGAGAUCGAAGAGCAAACGAAAAAUUUGACGAACCAUCCAAGCACACCAACAACUCGAUCUGGCACCUGCCAAGGUAGUCACAGUUUCAUGUAUACGCCAGUCCGCAACAUCGAAAGGCCCAAGAAGGACCUUGAGAGCUUGUCGCUUUUAGAGGAUUACACGAACACCCAGUUCAGCCCUUGCUCUGAGGAUUCAGGUCUGGAUGACUCUAGUUAUAGAUCACCGUUUGAUGAAUCAGAGACCCCAAUUGAGAAGGAGAUUCGCCUAACCAUGGAGCGUGAGGAGAAGCUGAGGCGUGAGAGGGGAAUGUCAAAAUCAUACUCCAGUGACUGUGUACAGAUGAGGGUGAGAACUGCCAACUUAAAUUCUGGAAAACUAUGCCAAGAAGUCGAAGAGAAAAGGAAGAUGUUUGAAGACCAGGAUGAUGACGAAAGGUUAUCCAAGUAUCUCAGCAACAAGAUGCCUUCUUUCAUCAUUACCUCCUCACCAACCAAGAAACAAGACUUGAGCGCCAACAAUGUUAUCAUUCUUGAGCCAGAACCUUUCCCUCCAAGUCCACGGCAUGGAAAGAUGGUGUCCUCCAAAUCUGCUGACUGGAGACCUGAAGACACCCCUAAUGUCAUAAUUUUGGAGACAUCAAACCUCAUCAUUCGAAGUGCAUCAGAGUUCAACUUGAAUUCUGUCUCUGAGGAAACCCAGGAGAAGAUGUUCCUCAACAACCCGUUUUUCAAGCUGCGGUCCAGGAGUACACUAUCUCUAGUUGAUGAGGAGAUUAAGAUGGUGAAGCAGCGAGAAGAGGAACUCAAGCGUCAAAGAGCCACUCUUUACUCUAAGGAUCACUUCCUGAUGUCUCCAAACCGUUUGGACAGCUCAUUGUUUACAGAUGAUGUGCCAAUUAAAUGUAAAUCAUCCCCUUCAUCUCCAAUGAAAACAUGCAGAAUGGAUAGUUCAGCUUUGUCAUAUGAUCUUCAAUUUCCUGAACCCUACACUGGAGGCCGACGUAAAAGUGCCAUGGCACUGCGCUGGGAAGCAGGGGAGUUUGCGAACAAUGAGUAAAAAUGGACACUGAUCAUUUUGCAGCUGUUUUACGUAAGAAAAUGUUCAAUGCUUACACUCAUCUGUUAAUUGUGACAGCAUAUACACUUGCUACUGCUGCUUGUGUGACUUUGUUAUUGAUCCAGAAAAAAAAUUGCAUAUGCCAAGAUGCCUAAAUGUUAUUUGAAUGUACCGUUUCAUGCAUAUUCGGGAUUCCUCUUUGACGAGGUAUCUGGAGACUUAUAAACCAUAUUUUUAGUGUUUUGUCUACGAAGGAGAAUAUGUACCGUAUAUUCAUAUUGUAUUUUCUUGUUAUGAAAUGUUUGUAUAUCCCUAAACUAUAUGGAAAUAUGAAGCAGUAUUACAGGGUUUUAGGAUAAAAUUUAAGUGAAGAUUUAUACAAAAUCGAUGCAUUUUGCUAAAGAUUACUGAAAACAGAUCAAUUUAGUAUCUUUUGACAAAGGAAUAUUCUUUUUUUUUUUUUUUUUGAAUUGAUCUGAAUUUGAACUUGUUCAUAAUACAGGACUACAUUUCAGUACUUAUUUCUUAAACUCAUUAUGAAAAGCUUAAAUUUAUUUAGUAAUUAUAUUUUAUCUUAGAAAAUAAUCUAUUUAAAAAUGACCUGUUUGGUGUCCCUUUGUUGUCCACAGAUUAUGUGCAUAUUAAUGUCGAACUGCCAUGCUUAUAAAACACUAUUGCUUGCUGAACUUUGAAUCCAUGUCAGUCUCAAGAAAAUACUUGCUUUGCAUACCGUUUGAAUAAUCAUGUUCAAAAUAUGAAUGAAAAAAAUAAAAUGUCAAAUAAAGGCAGUUGUCUAUUUAUACUUAAACAGUUGAUUAUGUUGACGAGCAACCGGCUCAUAUCGUCUUUAUAUUAAAAUAACUCUUCCCAGAAAAAAAAACAAAAAAAAAAAAACACAGAAAUUAUAUUACUGUACACACAUUACUUUUGCAGCCUUUGAAAUAAUGAAAUAGUUAAUCAAAAGACAGUUUAAAAUAGUGAGACAGCAGCACAGGUACCACCCAUGAUCCUAAAGGGCUAAAAUAUCAGUAUAAAGACACAGAUUCAUACAAAAUGAAAACAAGUUUUAUUUAAAAAGAUGAUUGAUCUGUCACAGAUUGUCAUCUUUGCAAAAACCACGUCCACUUCAUAUUCAGUCUUUGUACAGAAUGGACACACUGCUAAUGAUAUUUACAUUUCAGGCAACAGUAACAGUCUUUAAAUCCAUCCAUCAAUAUUAGGCACAAGCAUCUAGAAUAAGGUGGUUAAAAUAAUUAUUUCAUAUUUAGAAAAAGACAUACACAGCAUCCGAUCUGUAAACAUUGUUAAUUUAAUGCAGUCACCAAAUAUCCCAAUGGAAAUAUGUUUUUAAGAUGGAAUAAAGGCUUAAAAAGCAGAUCAGGAAGAGACAUUUAAUAAUAAGCCGACAUUGCUCUUAACUACUAAUAAUUUUACAAAUAAGCCAUUGUGUACAUAUAUAAUACAAAAUUAAUUACAAAAAGUGCUAAAAAAUAUACUAAAUUGAUUUAUACCUAAGCAGUCAAGAAAUAUAAUUUAAAAUCAGACAAAUUCAUUAUAAUAAAUCAAAAUAAAUUGACAGGCAGCUUGUCAUAAAUCAGUCUUACGGCACAUUUCUUUGGCUUGUUUUAAAAUAGGCACGAUUAGUGAAAGUUUCAGAGACUAAAUGUGG